This 466-nucleotide ribosomal RNA is filed under the name uncultured bacterium. Its description in RNAcentral is "partial 16S ribosomal RNA". It matches the Rfam family "Bacterial small subunit ribosomal RNA", at positions 28 to 507 of the family's 1533-position model. The record is from RNAcentral.
GACGAACGCUGGCGGCGCGCCUAACACAUGCAAGUCGAACGAGCGAGAGAGAGCUUGCUUUCUCGAGCGAGUGGCGAACGGGUGAGUAACGCGUGAGGAACCUGCCUCAAAGAGGGGGACAACAGUUGGAAACGACUGCUAAUACCGCAUAAGCCCACGGCUCGGCAUCGAGCAGGGGGAAAAGGAGCAAUCCGCUUUGAGAUGGCCUCGCGUCCGAUUAGCUAGUUGGUGGGGUAACGGCCCACCAAGGCGACGAUCGGUAGCCGGACUGAGAGGUUGAACGGCCACAUUGGGACUGAGACACGGCCCAGACUCCUACGGGAGGCAGCAGUGGGGAAUAUUGCACAAUGGGGGAAACCCUAAUGCAGCGACGCCGCGUGGAGGAAGAAGGUCUUCGGAUUGUAAACUCCUGUUGUUGGGGAAGAUAAUGACGGUACCCAACAAGGAAGUGACGGCUAACUACGUG